CCUGGACUCCCUCUUCAGCUCAAAAACCUGUUUUUGAGCUGAAGAGGGCGUCCAGGCGCCGAAAACGUUUCUCAAUAAAUUCUGUUUUUUAUUGAAAUUGAAAAUUGUGGACUGCUUAAGAGUGCUGUAACGAAAUUGAAGAUAUAAUUUGUCUACCUUUAAGAGCAGUAAAAAGUAAAAAUUGUAGUUGAUUCUAUAUAUCUCAACAGAGUUUACACCAUUAGACCAGGCAAAUGCCUCUUAUAGGAUCUCUUCUGUUGUUUAAAAAAUUUACCAUUAAAAGAGAAGCAUGCUUCCUAAUGGAGGAUGAUGAUAUAAUAAUGCACGACAUCAUUACAUAUAUUAUUAUAUCAUCAUGCCAUCAUAAAUUAUCAGUGUUUUGUGACAUCAUCCACUGUGUCAGAUUGUGUCACUGUGUGAUGAUGUUACAACAGGACUGUGAUGCCAUUACGAUAGAUAAUGUAGAUAAUAAUAUGAUAAAUAAGAAAUCAAGUUAAUCAUAUAUUAUCCUUAUACUAUUAACACUUAGUGUCAUGUAUUGGCAAUAAUAUAAACUAAAAUUAUAAUAAAAAUGAAAUUCUAUUCUGCAAGAUUAGUCAUUUC
RNAcentral lists this long non-coding RNA (603 nucleotides) under Androctonus crassicauda. Lineage: Eukaryota; Metazoa; Arthropoda; Arachnida; Scorpiones; Buthidae. The record is from RNAcentral.